Molecule: long non-coding RNA, 949 nt
Filed under: Homo sapiens (human)
Lineage: Eukaryota; Metazoa; Chordata; Mammalia; Primates; Hominidae
Description: HSALNT0406005
Source: RNAcentral
ACGUCGUGGUUCACCCGCCUCGGCCUCCCAAAGUGCUGGGAUUACAGACGUGAGCCACCGCGCCCGGCAUGAAUAGUACUUAUACAUGUUUAGAUGCAAAUCUUUCCUUACAUAGUGUUCCUCCCCUCUGGAGGAUGCGGCGCUCAAGAUGCCAUGUUGGAAACAGAGAAACUGGACCCUGAUCUACCGGUGCCUUGACCUUGGACUGCCCAGCCUCCAGACCUGUGUGAAAUAAAUUUAUUUUCUUUAUAAAUUAUCCAAUCGGUGGUAUUCUGCUAUAGAAGCACAAAACAGACUAAGACAGGCAAGAAGAUUAUUCUGGCUGCAUAGAUGAGUUGGGAAAUAGUCUAUCUUCUAUUUUCUGGAAGAUUUUUUUGUAAUGUUAGCAUAAUCUGCUGUUCUAACGUUUGGUAGAACUUGCCCAUAAAACUGUAUGUGCCUGGGGAGGCAACAUUUCAACUUCAAUGUAUUUAAUAGUUAAAGGAAAAUUCAGUCUCUCUAUUCUCUUGAUUUUUUAAACCAAAUUAUACUAUUCUAAGUAUUUGUUUAACCUAAAUUUUAAAAUUUAGAAUAUAAAGCUUUUGACGAAAUUCUCAGUGUAUUUUAAACCUCUGUUUCAUCUAUAAUUAUGGUUCAUUUACAUUCCUAAUACUAUUUUUUCUUCUUUCUUUUUAUCUUCAUCAGUUUUACCAUAGUCUUUCCUAAGAACCCAAUUUUGGCUUUGUUGACCUUUUCUAUUGUAUUUUUUGUUGUUGGUUGUGGUGAUCUUGAGUUCUGGCCUUAUCUUUAUGUCUUUACUUCUCUCCUUGAGCUAAUUCUAUUGUUUGUUUGUUUUUGUUUUUUUACUUCUGAUUUUGGAAGUUUAGCUUGUUAAUUUUCAGCUAUUUUUCUUUUAUGUACUUUCUGUAUUGUUAUAUUUGACUAUUAAAAGUGUUUUUUUAAGCCUGUA